Long non-coding RNA from Sipha flava (yellow sugarcane aphid), 376 nucleotides. RefSeq lists it as uncharacterized. NCBI's taxonomy places the organism in Eukaryota, Metazoa, Arthropoda, Insecta, Hemiptera, Aphididae. The record is from RefSeq and is a predicted model, not a curated record. The transcript has 3 exons.
GAAGAUCCACGCUGAUAUAAUGUUUUCGUGUGGACAAUGUUCAAAAACGUAUACGCGUCAAGACAUCCUUACAAGAUAUAUUAAAACGUUUCACGAAAGGAUAUAAGUAGCUUCGCGAUAUUAGCUACGAAUAUACCUGCUACUCAUUCAUCAGAAAUAAUGGCAAGAUGAUGGUUAUGAUGAAUUGCUUCAUCACAUGGUAUGCGAAUGUUCAUUUCUGUGAAAAUUCGGGGGUCUCUAACAAUUGUCAUAACGAAAACAAGGAGAAUAAAAAGCGAGUUAAAAGGACUCGAUUAGAUUUGAGGAGAAAUGCUGUUGGUUUUAUUAAUGUAGGAUCAUCUAUUAACAAUCGUAUAACGUGGUAUUGUAAAAGGAA